Molecule: ribosomal RNA, 256 nt
Filed under: uncultured bacterium
Lineage: Bacteria
Description: partial 16S ribosomal RNA
Rfam family: Bacterial small subunit ribosomal RNA
Source: RNAcentral
UACGGAGGGGGCUAGCGUUGUUCGGAAUUACUGGGCGUAAAGCGCGCGUAGGCGGCUUUGUAAGUUAGAGGUGAAAGCCCGGAGCUCAACUCCGGAAUUGCCUUUAAGACUGCAUCGCUAGAAUCAUGGAGAGGUGAGUGGAAUUCCGAGUGUAGAGGUGAAAAUUCGUAGAUAUUCGGAAGAACACCGGUGGCGAAGGCGGCAUCUUGGACCGGCAUUGACGCUGAGGAGCGAAAAGCGUGGGGGAGCGAACAGG